UACGGGGGGGGCAAGCGUUGUUCGGAAUUACUGGGCGUAAAGGGCUCGUAGGCGGCCAACUAAGUCGGAUGUGAAAUCCCCAGGCUUAACCUGGGAACUGCAUCCGAUACUGGAUGGCUUGAAUCCGGGAGAGGGAUGCAGAAUUCCAGGUGUAGCGGUGAAAUGCGUAGAUAUCUGGAGGAAUACCGGUGGCGAAGGCGGCAUUCUGGACCGAAACUGACACUGAGGCGCGAAAGCCAGGGGAGCAAACGGG
This 253-nucleotide ribosomal RNA is filed under the name uncultured bacterium. RNAcentral's name for it is "partial 16S ribosomal RNA". It matches the Rfam family "Bacterial small subunit ribosomal RNA", at positions 524 to 776 of the family's 1533-position model. The record is from RNAcentral.